RNAcentral lists this ribosomal RNA (254 nucleotides) under uncultured bacterium. RNAcentral describes it as "partial 16S rRNA". It matches the Rfam family "Bacterial small subunit ribosomal RNA", at positions 505 to 758 of the family's 1533-position model. The record is from RNAcentral.
GUGUCAGCCGCCGCGGUAAUACGUAGGGGGCGAGCGUUGUCCGAAUUCACUGGGCGUAAAGCGCGCGUAGGCGGACUUUUAAGUUGGGGGUGAAAUCCCGAGGCUCAACCUCGGAACUGCCUUCAAAACUGGGAGUCUUGAGGUAUGGAGAGGGAAGUGGAAUUCCAGGUGUAGCGGUGAUAUGCGUAGAUAUCUGGAGGAACACCCGUGGCGAAGGCGGCUUCCUGGCCAUAUCCUGACGCUGAGGUGCGAAA